Molecule: long non-coding RNA, 354 nt
Organism: Trifolium pratense (red clover)
Lineage: Eukaryota; Viridiplantae; Streptophyta; Magnoliopsida; Fabales; Fabaceae
Exons: 2
Source: RefSeq, a predicted model, not a curated record
GUUUUAUUUAUAAAAGUGACCAACCAAUUAACUUUCUAUUUAUUAUAUGUAAAAGAAGAAAAAUAUGGCUGAAAAUUUUAAAUUCGUUUAUGCUUUGAUCAUCUUUAUUUCUCUAAUUAUUUUUGCAACCAGCUAUGACAAUAAAUUCUUUUGCUAUACUGACGAUGAUUGUGAUUCCAAUAUAUGUCGAUUUCCUUUCGUUAAGAAGUGUCGUAUGUUUCUGUGUUACUGCGACCUAGAGAAACAUUAAGUUGAUAAAUAAUGCUAUGUUAUUUUUAAGCUUAUAAUUUUUUUUGUAAGCUAUAAUGUUAGUACUUAUAAAUAAAUUUAUUAAUUACUAGUGUAUUAACCUCA